AUUGAACGCUGGCGGCAGGCCUAACACAUGCAAGUCGAGCGGAUGAAGGGAGCUUGCUCCUGGAUUCAGCGGCGGACGGGUGAGUAAUGCCUAGGAAUCUGCCUGUUAGUGGGUUAUAACGUCCGGAAACGGGCGCUAAUACCGCAUACGUCCUGAGGGAGAAAGUGGUGGAUCUUCGGACCUCCCGCUAUCAGAUGAGCCUUGGUCGGAUUAGCUAGUUGGUGGGGUAAAGGCCUACCAAGGCGACGAUCCGUAACUGGUAUGAGAGGAUGAUCAGUCACACUGGAACUGAGACACGGUCAAGACUCCUACGGGAGGGAGCAGUGGGGAAUAUUGGACAAUGGGCGAAAGCCUGAUACAGCCAUGCCGAGUGUGAGAAGAAGGUCUUCGGAUUGUAAAGCACUUUAAGUUGGGAGGAAGGGAAGUAAGUUAAUACCUAGCUGUAAUGACGUUACCAACAGAAUAAGCACCGGCUAACUACGUG
Molecule: ribosomal RNA, 484 nt
Filed under: uncultured bacterium
Lineage: Bacteria
Description: partial 16S ribosomal RNA
Rfam family: Bacterial small subunit ribosomal RNA
Source: RNAcentral